GACGAACGCUGGCGGCGUGCUUAACACAUGCAAGUCGAACGGAAAGGCCCUGCUUUUGUGGGGUGCUCGAGUGGCGAACGGGUGAGUAACACGUGAGUAACCUGCCCUUGACUUUGGGUUAACUUCAGGAAACUGGGGCUAAUACCGGAUAGGAGCUCCUGCUGCAUGGUGGGGGUUGGAAAGUUUCGGCGGUUGGGGAUGGACUCGCGGCUUAUCAGCUUGUUGGUGGGGUAGUGGCUUACCAAGGCUUUGACGGGUAGCCGGCCUGAGAGGGUGACCGGCCACAUUGGGACUGAGAUACGGCCCAGACUCCUACGGGAGGCAGCAGUGGGGAAUAUUGCACAAUGGGCGGAAGCCUGAUGCAGCAACGCCGCGUGCGGGAUGACGGCCUUCGGGUUGUAAACCGCUUUCGCCUGUGACGAAGCGUGAGUGACGGUAAUGGGUAAAGAAGCACCGGCUAACUACGUGCCAGCAGCCGCGGUGAUACGUAGGGUGCGAGCGUUGUCCGGAUUUAUUGGGCGUAAAGGGCUCGUAGGUGGUUGAUCGCGUCGGAAGUGUAAUCUUGGGGCUUAACCCUGAGCGUGCUUUCGAUACGGGUUGACUUGAGGAAGGUAGGGGAGAAUGGAAUUCCUGGUGGAGCGGUGGAAUGCGCAGAUAUCAGGAGGAACACCAGUGGCGAAGGCGGUUCUCUGGGCCUUUCCUGACGCUGAGGAGCGAAAGCGUGGGGAGCGAACAGGCUUAGAUACCCUGGUAGUCCACGCUGUAAACGGUGGGUACUAGGUGUGGGGUCCAUUCCACGGGUUCCGUGCCGUAGCUAACGCUUUAAGUACCCCGCCUGGGGAGUACGGCCGCAAGGCUAAAACUCAAAGGAAUUGACGGGGCCCCGCACAAGCGGCGGAGCAUGCGGAUUAAUUCGAUGCAACGCGUAGAACCUUACCUGGGUUUGACAUGGAUCGGGAGUGCUCAGAGAUGGGUGUGCCUCUUUUGGGGUCGGUUCACAGGUGGUGCAUGGCUGUCGUCAGCUCGUGUCGUGAGAUGUUGGGUUAAGUCCCGCAACGAGCGCAACCCUUGUUCACUGUUGCCAGCACGUUAUGGUGGGGACUCAGUGGAGACCGCCGGGGUCAACUCGGAGGAAGGUGGGGAUGACGUCAAGUCAUCAUGCCCCUUAUGUCCAGGGCUUCACGCAUGCCACAAUGGCUGGUACAGAGAGUGGCGAGCCUGUGAGGGUGAGCGAAUCUCGGAAAGCCGGUCUCAGUUCGGAUUGGGGUCUGCAACUCGACCUCAUGAAGUCGGAGUCGCUAGUAAUCGCAGAUCAGCAUGCUACGGUGAAUACGUUCCCGGGUCU
RNAcentral lists this ribosomal RNA (1345 nucleotides) under uncultured bacterium. RNAcentral's name for it is "16S ribosomal RNA". It matches the Rfam family "Bacterial small subunit ribosomal RNA", at positions 28 to 1381 of the family's 1533-position model. The record is from RNAcentral.